AAAGUAUCCGUCUGUUGUUUCAACAGGCAUCGAAGCGUGUUGGGGUGCGAAGGCAGCCAGCCCAGGCUCCAACGGGGGAAAGUGCAGAAAUGCCCAGUGCUGCUAAUGGGCUGAUUCAAAGCCCUCAAGCGCUUCCCUUCACGAGAGCAUGCGUGAGAGGAAUGUAUUUUGCAAUGGUUUUAUUCAGUCUGGGGUAAUUCCUGUUCUCUYGCUUCCUCUCUGCAUCGUGUAGAUGCCAGCGAACAGCGUGUUUUGCUGCCUCCUCACCUUCAGCCUUUUCAGCAGCUCCCAGCUCAGCGGCUUUCUUCCGUUUUCCUCCUCACUGCACCGAGGACGAUGGUGUUUGAGCAUGCUGAGGGUACUGCAGCGCAGCAUUGCAGAUGUGCAGCACCUGCCAGASUGACUUCCUUAUCUUCAGCUGGAACCUAAGACAAAGAAAAGAAUUUGCUUUAAUGAGCCACUUAUGGAGAAUUUCAUCUCAAUAUUUGCAGCACUAGCACAAGAAAAGUCAGCGCCACGACUUUCCUACCGGGGUUAAGGACAGYGCCCAGAGGAGGUUGGGAGCCUUGAGGUCCUGUGAGUGUGAAGAACAUGUUUAAGUUUUGUUUGUUUGCARGAGAAGAACCUAAUUUGCGUUGCUGCAAAACAAUGAUGCAGAAAACCACAAGAACCCGUCAUUCUGGUCUGGUCCUUGGAUUUUGUCAGAAUUUUUUUAAUGCUCCUUUGCAAUUAAAAUUCUCUCUUGGUUGUCUUCUUGUUAGCAAUGC
This 767-nucleotide long non-coding RNA is filed under the name Dromaius novaehollandiae (emu). RNAcentral describes it as "lncRNA (ENSDNVG00000008245.1)". The record is from RNAcentral. Lineage: Eukaryota; Metazoa; Chordata; Aves; Casuariiformes; Dromaiidae.